RNAcentral lists this ribosomal RNA (465 nucleotides) under uncultured bacterium. Its description in RNAcentral is "partial 16S ribosomal RNA". It matches the Rfam family "Bacterial small subunit ribosomal RNA", at positions 28 to 507 of the family's 1533-position model. The record is from RNAcentral.
GACGAACGCUGGCGGCGUGCUUAACACAUGCAAGUCGUACGGUAAGGCCCUUUCGGGGGUACACGAGUGGCGAACGGGUGAGUAACACGUGAGUAACCUUCCCACAACUUUGGGAUAACGCUAGGAAACUGGUGCUAAUACUGGAUAUGUGCUCCUGCUGCAUGGUGGGGGUUGGAAAGCUCCGGCGGUUGUGGAUGGACUCGCGGCCUAUCAGCUUGUUGGUGGGGUAGUGGCCUACCAAGGCGGCGACGGGUAGCCGGCCUGAGAGGGUGACCGGCCACAUUGGGACUGAGAUACGGCCCAGACUACUACGGGAGGCAGAAGGGGGGAAUAUUGCACAAUGGGAGCAAGCCUGAUGCAGCAACGCCGCGUGAGGGAUGACGGCCUUCGGGUUGUAAACCGCUUUCAGCAGGGACGAAGCUUUUUGUGACGGUACCUGCAGAAGAAGCACAGGCUAACUACGUG